ACUGAAUUAGUGAUCGGUUUUGGGCGAAUAUUAAUUUAAUUUUUAAGGAAAUUAACAUGUCACUAACUACAGCUCAGAAAGCAGAAAUCGUUGCCCAGUUCGCACGU
RNAcentral lists this non-coding RNA (107 nucleotides) under human gut metagenome. RNAcentral's name for it is "Ribosomal S15 leader". It matches the Rfam family "Ribosomal S15 leader", at positions 8 to 111 of the family's 117-position model. Rfam says of the family: The E. coli Ribosomal S15 gene 5' UTR can form two alternative structures. One that is a series of three hairpins, The other includes a pseudoknot. RNAcentral also lists the same sequence under 1 other name. The record is from RNAcentral.